GACGAACGCUGGCGGCGUGCUUAACACAUGCAAGUCGAACGGAAAGGCCCUGCUUUUGUGGGGUGCUCGAGUGGCGAACGGGUGAGUAACACGUGAGUAACCUGCCCUUGACUUUGGGAUAACUUCAGGAAACUGGGGCUAAUACCGGAUAGGAGCUCUUGCUGCAUGGUGGGGGUUGGAAAGUUUCGGCGGUUGGGGAUGGACUCGCGGCUUAUCAGCUUGUUGGUGGGGUAGUGGCUUACCAAGGCUUUGAAGGGUAGCCGGCCUGAGAGGGUGACCGGCCACAUUGGGACUGAGAUACGGCCCAGACUCCUACGGGAGGCAGCAGUGGGGAAUAUUGCACAAUGGGCGGAAGCCUGAUGCAGCAACGCCGCGUGCGGGAUGACGGCCUUCGGGUUGUAAACCGCUUUCGCCUGUGACGAAGCGUGAGUGACGGUAAUGGGUAAAGAAGCACCGGCUAACUACGUG
This 468-nucleotide ribosomal RNA is filed under the name uncultured bacterium. Its description in RNAcentral is "partial 16S ribosomal RNA". It matches the Rfam family "Bacterial small subunit ribosomal RNA", at positions 28 to 507 of the family's 1533-position model. The record is from RNAcentral.